RNAcentral lists this transfer RNA (74 nucleotides) under Candidatus Uhrbacteria bacterium CG10_big_fil_rev_8_21_14_0_10_50_16. RNAcentral describes it as "tRNA-Cys". It matches the Rfam family "tRNA". From Rfam's summary of the family: Transfer RNA (tRNA) molecules are approximately 80 nucleotides in length. Lineage: Bacteria; Candidatus Uhriibacteriota. RNAcentral also lists the same sequence under 1 other name. The record is from RNAcentral.
GGCGCGAUAGCCAAGUGGUAAGGCAGGGGACUGCAAAUCCCUUAUCGUGGGUUCGAUUCCCGCUCGCGCCUCCA